GUUUGGCAUUGGGGGAUUGGACGCGUUAGCAACUCUGCGACAGAUAGAACUCGUGUCCCAAGACGAUCCCGUGAAAUUGGAGACGGGAUUUGUAGCUUAUGAUCAAUGCAGUGGCAUUAAUUCAGACAACGAGUGUGUGAUUGCCUACGAAACCUACAAGUGCGGCCAGCAAAAAGCGCCGGACUUGGUCUCAAAAAUCGUCACGAGGAACUACGAUAAUAAUACAAUGCUGAUGCCUCCAACUCCUUGUGUUCCUGUGCGCAGAGCCUGCUGGCUUACGAACACUCUUCCUUGCAUAAAAAACCAAACUUUAAUCGACGCAUUGAAUAAAGAUGGAAGAGAUGCAUAUGGAAAUCUCGUUUUAGACAAAAACAGAACGUUUUAUUUUUCCAAUUUAGACCCAUUUCCACUUCCUUAUGAUGCCUACACUCAUUGCUGCGAAAUUGGAAUGUAUCUCGCAGAACCUCAGACACUUG
Molecule: long non-coding RNA, 476 nt
Organism: Cloeon dipterum
Lineage: Eukaryota; Metazoa; Arthropoda; Insecta; Ephemeroptera; Baetidae
Exons: 6
Source: RefSeq, a predicted model, not a curated record